GACGAACGCUGGCGGCGUGCUUAACACAUGCCAGUCGAACGCUGAAGGCCUGGCUUUUGUUGGGUUGGAUGAGUGGCGAACGGGUGAGUAACACGUGAGUAACCUGCCCUCUUCUUUGGGAUAACGCCCGGAAACGGGUGCUAAUACUGGAUAUUCACUGAUCUUCGCAUGGGGGUUGGUGGAAAGGUUUGUUCUGGUGGGGGAUGGGCUCGCGGCCUAUCAGCUUGUUGGUGGGGUGAUGGCCUACCAAGGCUUUGACGGGUAGCCGGCCUGAGAGGGUGACCGGUCACAUUGGGACUGAGAUACGGCCCAGACUCCUACGGGAGGCAGCAGUGGGGAAUAUUGCACAAUGGGCGAAAGCCUGAUGCAGCGACGCCGCGUGAGGGAUGGAGGCCUUCGGGUUGUAAACCUCUUUCGCUCAUGGUCAAGCCGCAACUGUGGGUUGUGGUGAGGGUAGUGGGUAAAGAAGCGCCGGCUAACUACGUG
Molecule: ribosomal RNA, 486 nt
Filed under: uncultured bacterium
Lineage: Bacteria
Description: partial 16S ribosomal RNA
Rfam family: Bacterial small subunit ribosomal RNA
Source: RNAcentral